This 337-nucleotide ribosomal RNA is filed under the name uncultured Desulfocapsa sp. RNAcentral describes it as "bacterial SSU rRNA". It matches the Rfam family "Bacterial small subunit ribosomal RNA", at positions 1044 to 1382 of the family's 1533-position model. The record is from RNAcentral. Lineage: Bacteria; Pseudomonadati; Thermodesulfobacteriota; Desulfobulbia; Desulfobulbales; Desulfocapsaceae.
CAUGGCUGUCGUCAGCUCGUGUCGUGAGAUGUUGGUUAAGUCCCGCAACGAGCGCAACCCCUAUCCUCAGUUGCCAUCAUUAAGUUGGGCACUCUGUGGAGACUGCCCGGUGUCAAACCGGAGGAAGGUGGGGAUGACGUCAAGUCCUCAUGGCCUUUAUGACCAGGGCUACACACGUACUACAAUGGCCGGUACAAAGGGCAGCGACACAGCGAUGUGAAGCGAAUCCCGAAAAGCCGGUCUCAGUCCGGAUUGGAGUCUGCAACUCGACUCCAUGAAGUUGGAAUCGCUAGUAAUCGCGGAUCAGCACGCCGCGGUGAAUACGUUCCCGGGCCUU